This 285-nucleotide ribosomal RNA is filed under the name uncultured bacterium. Its description in RNAcentral is "partial 16S ribosomal RNA". It matches the Rfam family "Bacterial small subunit ribosomal RNA", at positions 202 to 477 of the family's 1533-position model. The record is from RNAcentral.
AAGCAGGGGAUCGCAAGACCUUGCGCUUUUGGAGCGGCCGAUGUCUGAUUAGCUAGUUGGUGAGGUAAAGGCUUACCAAGGCUUCGAUCAGUAGCUGGUCUGAGAGGACGACCAGCCACACUGGGACUGAGACACGGCCCAGACUCCUACGGGAGGCAGCAGUGGGGAAUUUUGGACAAUGGGGGAAACCCUGAUCCAGCCAUGCCGCGUGAGUGAAGAAGGCCUUCGGGUUGUAAAGCUCUUUCAGCCGGAAAGAAACGGUUACGGUUAAUACCCGUGACUAAU